CCUACGGGAGGCAGCAGUAAGGAAUAUUGGUCAAUGGAGGCAACUCUGAACCAGCCAUGCCGCGUGCAGGAAGACUGCCCUAUGGGUUGUAAACUGCUUUUAUCCGGGAAUAAACCUGCUUACGUGUAAGUAGCUGAAUGUACCGGAAGAAUAAGGAUCGGCUAACUCCGUGCCAGCAGCCGCGGUAAUACGGAGGAUCCAAGCGUUAUCCGGAUUUAUUGGGUUUAAAGGGUGCGUAGGCGGCCUGUUAAGUCAGGGGUGAAAGACGGUAGCUCAACUAUCGCAGUGCCCUUGAUACUGAUGGGCUUGAAUGGACUAGAGGUAGGCGGAAUGAGACAAGUAGCGGUGAAAUGCAUAGAUAUGUCUCAGAACACCGAUUGCGAAGGCAGCUUACUAUGGUCUUAUUGACGCUGAGGCACGAAAGCGUGGGGAUCAAACAGGAUUAGAUACCCUGGUAGUCCACGCCCUAAACGAUGAA
Molecule: ribosomal RNA, 478 nt
Filed under: uncultured bacterium
Lineage: Bacteria
Description: bacterial SSU rRNA
Rfam family: Bacterial small subunit ribosomal RNA
Source: RNAcentral